Molecule: ribosomal RNA, 266 nt
Filed under: uncultured bacterium
Lineage: Bacteria
Description: partial 16S ribosomal RNA
Rfam family: Bacterial small subunit ribosomal RNA
Source: RNAcentral
GUCCACGCUGUAAACGAUGGGCACUAGGUGUCCGGGGUAUUGACCCCCUGGGUGCCGCAGCUAACGCAUUAAGUGCCCCGCCUUGGGAGUACGGUCGCAAGAUUAAAACUCAAAGGAAUUGACGGUGGCCCCGCACAAGCGGUGGAGCAUGUGGUUCAAUUCGACGCAACGCGAAGAACCUUACCUGGGCUAGACAACGGUGGACAGUCCUAGAAAUAGGAUCUUCCCUUCGGGGACCGCCGGUUCAGGUGCUGCAUGGCUGUCGU